This 677-nucleotide long non-coding RNA is filed under the name Bos indicus x Bos taurus (hybrid cattle). Its description in RNAcentral is "lncRNA (ENSBIXG00000008459.1)". Lineage: Eukaryota; Metazoa; Chordata; Mammalia; Artiodactyla; Bovidae. The record is from RNAcentral.
AAAAAACAGAAUACCUCAAAUGAUUCCUUCGACUCCAGGAUUUUAUUUUCAAUGAUAUAAUACGUAUGAGUGAAGAGAAACUCUGGGAGUUAGUGAUGGACAGGGAGGCCUGGCGUGCUACAGUCCAUGGAGUCGCAAAGAGUUGGACAUGACUGAGUGACUAAACUGAAUUGAACUGAAGAGGAAAACCUACUGACAAGCUGGAGCCUUGCUGCUCUGGGGACGUCUGCAAGCCUGACAGAUGGCCUGGGUCCUGCCUGAAUUACCACACACCACCUCUCCUUCUGGACCGCACAGCAUAAGACAAAAUAACAUUACUCACACCAGGAGAGGAGACAAAGACAGUACUGAAUCAAGUUCGUAUGAUGAAGAUGGAAUCAAGAUUGCCCAGAGAAAUAUCAAUAACCUCAGAUAUGCUGAUGACACCACUCUAAUGGCAGAAAGCAAAGAGGAGGUAAAGAGCCUCUAGAUGAAGGUGAAAUAAGAGAGUGAAAAAGCUGGCUUAAAACUCAGCAUUCAAAAAACUAAGGUCAUGGCAUCCAGUCCUAUCACUUCCUGGGAAAUAGAUGGGGAAACAAUGGAAACAGUGACAUUUUCUUUUCUUGGGCUCCAAAAUUACUGCAGAAGGUGAUGCAGCCAAAAAUAAAAGAUACUCACUCCUUGGAAGGAAAGCUAUG